GAUGAACGCUGGCGGCGUGCCUAAUACAUGCAAGUCGAGCGAACGGACGAGAAGCUUGCUUCUCUGAUGUUAGCGGCGGACGGGUGAGUAACACGUGGAUAACCUACCUAUAAGACUGGGAUAACUUCGGGAAACCGGAGCUAAUACCGGAUAAUAUUUUGAACCGCAUGGUUCAAAAGUGAAAGACGGUCUUGCUGUCACUUAUAGAUGGAUCCGCGCUGCAUUAGCUAGUUGGUAAGGUAACGGCUUACCAAGGCAACGAUGCAUAGCCGACCUGAGAGGGUGAUCGGCCACACUGGAACUGAGACACGGUCCAGACUCCUACGGGAGGCAGCAGUAGGGAAUCUUCCGCAAUGGGCGAAAGCCUGACGGAGCAACGCCGCGUGAGUGAUGAAGGUCUUCGGAUCGUAAAACUCUGUUAUUAGGGAAGAACAUAUGUGUAAGUAACUGUGCACAUCUUGACGGUACCUAAUCAGAAAGCCACGGCUAACUACGUGCCAGCAGCCGCGGUAAUACGUAGGUGGCAAGCGUUAUCCGGAAUUAUUGGGCGUAAAGCGCGCGUAGGCGGUUUUUUAAGUCUGAUGUGGAAGCCCACGGCUCAACCGUGGAGGGUCAUUAGAAACUGGAAAACUUGAGUGCGGAAGAGGAAAGUGGAAUUCCAUGUGUAGCGGUGAAAUGCGCAGAGAUAUGGAGGAACACCAGUGGCGAAGGCGACUUUCUGGUCUGUAACUGACGCUGAUGUGCGAAAGCGUGGGGAUCAAACAGGAUUAGAUACCCUGGUAGUCCACGCCGUAAACGAUGAGUGCUAAGUGUUAGGGGGUUUCCGCCCCUUAGUGCUGCAGCUAACGCAUUAAGCACUCCGCCUGGGGAGUACGACCGCAAGGUUGAAACUCAAAGGAAUUGACGGGGACCCGCACAAGCGGUGGAGCAUGUGGUUUAAUUCGAAGCAACGCGAAGAACCUUACCAAAUCUUGACAUCCUUUGACAACUCUAGAGAUAGAGCCUUCCCCUUCGGGGGACAAAGUGACAGGUGGUGCAUGGUUGUCGUCAGCUCGUGUCGUGAGAUGUUGGGUUAAGUCCCGCAACGAGCGCAACCCUUAAGCUUAGUUGCCAUCAUUAAGUUGGGCACUCUAAGUUGACUGCCGGUGACAAACCGGAGGAAGGUGGGGAUGACGUCAAAUCAUCAUGCCCCUUAUGAUUUGGGCUACACACGUGCUACAAUGGACAAUACAAAGGGCAGCGAAACCGCGAGGUCAAGCAAAUCCCAUAAAGUUGUUCUCAGUUCGGAUUGUAGUCUGCAACUCGACUACAUGAAGCUGGAAUCGCUAGUAAUCGUAGAUCAGCAUGCUACGGUGAAUACGUUCCCGGGUCU
RNAcentral lists this ribosomal RNA (1372 nucleotides) under uncultured bacterium. RNAcentral's name for it is "bacterial SSU rRNA". It matches the Rfam family "Bacterial small subunit ribosomal RNA", at positions 28 to 1381 of the family's 1533-position model. The record is from RNAcentral.